Molecule: ribosomal RNA, 292 nt
Filed under: uncultured prokaryote
Description: partial 16S ribosomal RNA
Rfam family: Bacterial small subunit ribosomal RNA
Source: RNAcentral
GUGCCAGCCGCCGCGGUAAUACGGAGGGUGCAAGCGUUAAUCGGAAUUACUGGGCGUAAAGCGCACGUAGGCGGUGUGUUAAGUUGGAUGUGAAAGCCCCGGGCUCAACCAGGGAAUUGCAUUCAAAACUGGCACGCUAGAGUAUGUGAGAGGGGGGUAGAAUUCCAAGUGUAGCGGUGAAAUGCGUAGAGAUUUGGAGGAAUACCAGUGGCGAAGGCGGCCCCCUGGCACAAUACUGACGCUCAGGUGCGAAAGCGUGGGGAGCAAACAGGAUUAGAAACCCCCGUAGUCC